This 464-nucleotide ribosomal RNA is filed under the name uncultured bacterium. RNAcentral's name for it is "partial 16S ribosomal RNA". It matches the Rfam family "Bacterial small subunit ribosomal RNA", at positions 29 to 507 of the family's 1533-position model. The record is from RNAcentral.
ACGCACGCUGGCGGCGUGCUUCACCCAUGCAAGUCGCACGGAAAGGCCCUGCUUGCAGGGUACUCGAGUGGCGAACGGGUGAGUAACACGUGGGUGAUCUGCCCUGCACUUCGGGAUAAGCCUGGGAAACUGGGUCUAAUACCGGAUAGGAGCCAUUUUUAGUGUGAUGGUUGGAAAGUUUUUUCGGUGUAGGAUGAGCUCGCGGCCUAUCAGCUUGUUGGUGGGGUAAUGGCCUACCAAGGCGGCGACGGGUAGCCGGCCUGAGAGGGUGGACGGCCACAUUGGGACUGAGAUACGGCCCAGACUCCUACGGGAGGCAGCAGUGGGGAAUAUUGCACAAUGGGCGCAAGCCUGAUGCAGCGACGCCGCGUGGGGGAUGACGGCCUUCGGGUUGUAAACUCCUUUCGCUAGGGACGAAGCUUUUUGUGACGGUACCUAGAGAAGAAGCACCGGCUAACUACGUG